GACCGGCGCACGGGUGAGUAACACGUAUCAACCUGCCGAUGACUCGGGGAUAGCCUUUCGAAAGAAAGAUUAAUACCCGAUGGCAUAGUUCUUCCGCAUGGUAGAACUAUUAAAGAAUUUCGGUCAUCGAUGGGGAUGCGUUCCAUUAGGUUGUUGGCGGGGUAACGGCCCACCAAGCCUUCGAUGGAUAGGGGUUCUGAGAGGAAGGUCCCCACAUUGGAACUGAGACACGGUCCAAACUCCUACGGGAGGCAGCAUGA
RNAcentral lists this ribosomal RNA (260 nucleotides) under uncultured bacterium. Its description in RNAcentral is "partial 16S ribosomal RNA". It matches the Rfam family "Bacterial small subunit ribosomal RNA", at positions 93 to 353 of the family's 1533-position model. The record is from RNAcentral.